CCUACGGGAGGCUGCAGUGAGGAAUAUUGGUCAAUGGACGAGAGUCUGAACCAGCCAAGUAGCGUGAAGGAUGACUGCCCUAUGGGUUGUAAACUUCUUUUAUAUGGGAAUAAAACGUUCCACGUGUGGGAUUUUGUAUGUACCAUAUGAAUAAGGAUCGGCUAACUCCGUGCCAGCAGCCGCGGUAAUACGGAGGAUCCGAGCGUUAUCCGGAUUUAUUGGGUUUAAAGGGAGCGUAGGUGGAUUGUUAAGUCAGUUGUGAAAGUUUGCGGCUCAACCGUAAAAUUGCAGUUGAAACUGGCAGUCUUGAGUACAGUAGAGGUGGGCGGAAUUCGUGGUGUAGCGGUGAAAUGCUGAGAUAUCACGAAGAACUCCGAUUGCGAAGGCAGUUCACUGGACUGCAACUGACACUGAGGCUCGAAAGUGUGGGUAUCAAACAGGAUUAGAUACCCUAGUAGUC
Molecule: ribosomal RNA, 460 nt
Filed under: uncultured bacterium
Lineage: Bacteria
Description: partial 16S ribosomal RNA
Rfam family: Bacterial small subunit ribosomal RNA
Source: RNAcentral